CUCUCUCUCCUCUCCUCCUCUCCUCUCAAUUCUCUCUGACUUCUCUCUAAAAUCUCUCCCUUCUCUCUAACCUUUCUCCUCUCUUCUCUCCUUCUCCCUCUCGUCCACUGCUGCCGUCGCGAGUCUUCCACUAAUUUUUUUUCCUCUCCUUCUCCUCUUUCUCUCCUUCUCCUCUUUCUCUUCGCCCUCCGUCAUCCACAAAUAGGAAGAAAGGUAAAGUUUAGAAAUCCUUUUUGGGGUUAUUUCUCUCUCGUUUAGCUCAGACUCGGGCUUGCAUGUCAUCACCGAAGGUUUCGGAGAGCCCUCAAGUGACAUGCAGGUCUCGAUCUGUAAACCUAGGGUUGGAAAAACCCUUUUUACUUCAUCGAUCUAACCUGCUCUGUUUUUUUCUUGGUUAGGGACGAUAAUCGAUGGUUACGGUGGAGAAACAGAAAUAGAGAAAAAGCAGCAUGGUGAAAAAGGAUCCAGCCCCUUGUUUAGGUUUGUUUCUUGAUUAGUUGUCUAAGGAAUCAUUUAACUUGAUUAUUGGGGUUAUAGUAUUCUAUAUGUUUUAAUUAAGUCAUAUUUUUCAAAAAAAACUUACUUUUUGCUAGUGUUAACAUUUCAGCAAUCUGUUUAGUCGAAAAAAAAUCGUGCGUUAACUCGAUUAUACUAUGAGUUUCGUGAUUUUUCAGACCCCUGGUGAAAUAUAAUUAUAGGUUUUCUGUUUAUCAUGAUUUCCAGCAACUUUUAAGUGAUUUUUAAAGCUUAUUUUAAGGGUUUGUUAGCUUUAUGAAUCGUUUACUUGAUUAGUCGCAAUGAACAUAAUAAUAUGUAUGUAUGUGUGAAUGUUAUGUGAAGGAACGUUUGAAUGAUUACCUUUGAAUCGAAGCUUCUUUUUUUCGUGUUUCAGGUGGCAGUCCCUUGCGAAUGACGACAAAGUGAAUGACGGCAGAAACUGUUGUACUUAGGUUUAGCUCGUGUUUUGUAACGUGCUGUAAUAAUUUUCUUUUCUUCUUUCUUUUGGACUUGGACUUGGGGUGCAGG
RNAcentral lists this long non-coding RNA (1026 nucleotides) under Linum usitatissimum (flax). RNAcentral describes it as "long non-coding RNA (LUSI_LNC006680)". The record is from RNAcentral. Lineage: Eukaryota; Viridiplantae; Streptophyta; Magnoliopsida; Malpighiales; Linaceae.